This 253-nucleotide unclassified non-coding RNA is filed under the name Glomeraceae sp. Its description in RNAcentral is "partial contains 5.8S ribosomal RNA and internal transcribed spacer 2". The stretch from base 1 to 71 matches the Rfam family "5.8S ribosomal RNA", at positions 84 to 154 of the family's 154-position model. The record is from RNAcentral. Lineage: Eukaryota; Fungi; Glomeromycota; Glomeromycetes; Glomerales; Glomeraceae.
GUGAAUCAUCGAAUCUUUGAACGCAAAUUGCACUAGCUGGUAUUCUGGGGAGUAUGCCUGUUUGAGGGUCGUUAGAAGAAAAAUGGAAGGAUCGCUCUUUGUUUGAGGGUGAGCGCGUUGGAAUUGAGCCGUCUUUCAAAUGUUAAUUUAUGUCAAAGUGGCUUAAAAUUGAUCGAUACGGUACGAUUAAAGCGUAUUUAAGAUCAAUUUGGAUUAAGAAAGCGCGAUGAAGUAUUGUCUUAUGUAGUACGUG